UUAUGUAGGAGUACAAACUCAGGAUGUCAUCAAUAGUUUGAACUUGUUUUCUAUAGUUCUAGCAUUGUAUAGCCUAUACAGUAUAGGCUAUGCAUUGUUGUUUUUGCACUUAUAAAUCAAUUUUGUACCUAACUUGUAUUACAGGAUUUGAAUAUGAACUUUUUUCAAGUUACUGGUAAUGUGAAACAGAAAACUUUGGAUAUUA
This 205-nucleotide long non-coding RNA is filed under the name Lathyrus oleraceus (garden pea). RNAcentral describes it as "Pisum sativum (pea) long non-coding RNA (PSAT_LNC012664)". The record is from RNAcentral. Lineage: Eukaryota; Viridiplantae; Streptophyta; Magnoliopsida; Fabales; Fabaceae.